GAUGAACGCUGGCGGCGUGCCUAAUACAUGCAAGUCGAGCGAACGGACGAGAAGCUUGCUUCUCUGAUGUUAGCGGCGGACGGGUGAGUAACACGUGGAUAACCUACCUAUAAGACUGGGAUAACUUCGGGAAACCGGAGCUAAUACCGGAUAAUAUUUUGAACCGCAUGGUUCAAAAGUGAAAGACGGUCUUGCUGUCACUUAUAGAUGGAUCCGCGCUGCAUUAGCUAGUUGGUAAGGUAACGGCUUACCAAGGCAACGAUGCAUAGCCGACCUGAGAGGGUGAUCGGCCACACUGGAACUGAGACACGGUCCAGACUCCUACGCGAGGCAGCAGUAGGGAAUCUUCCGCAAUGGGCGAAAGCCUGACGGAGCAACGCCGCGUGAGUGAUGAAGGUCUUCGGAUCGUAAAACUCUGUUAUUAGGGAAGAACAUAUGUGUAAGUAACUGUGCACAUCUUGACGGUACCUAAUCAGAAAGCCACGGCUAUCUACGUG
This 497-nucleotide ribosomal RNA is filed under the name uncultured bacterium. Its description in RNAcentral is "partial 16S ribosomal RNA". It matches the Rfam family "Bacterial small subunit ribosomal RNA", at positions 28 to 507 of the family's 1533-position model. The record is from RNAcentral.